Molecule: non-coding RNA, 2784 nt
Organism: Podarcis muralis (Common wall lizard)
Lineage: Eukaryota; Metazoa; Chordata; Lepidosauria; Squamata; Lacertidae
Source: RefSeq, a predicted model, not a curated record
AAUGGCCGAAGGGGACCGAGGGUGGAGGAGCGGGCUUUCUCUCACAGCCAGCUUUUGUCGAGAGCGAAGGGGAGGCGGAUGGAACGCUCCGGGGAGUGGCCUUCAAAGCGCCGGGCUCGCGCAUUUCGCUUGGCCGGGAGGCGGCGCCAGGCUGCCCCGCCGCUCUCCCUUGGAAAGCCCGCGGCUUCGGGGCCUACCUCCGGAACUGAGGCCUUCGUGGGGGAGGCACCUAAAGCAGACUUUGGGGUGUUGGCAGUAGAUGAGACUCACUGAAGUAAAUUCACUGAAUGGGCCAUCGCUUCUGAGAAGGUGCUCUGUGGGCAGCUGGAGGAGCGUGGAGAUUACCUGAAUGCACAGACAGGUUCGUAAAGGGGAGCAGGUUUUCCUUCAGGCGCUUGGUUCCUACGCCAGUUCAGCUGAAAGAGUGGUUGGUUGUUUACAGAACUGAGAAAACACUUCACAUUGUCGGUUGGUGGUAAACCUUUAUAAUCCUAGCUGAUCUUCUGGAACACGUCUGGGUUUGGGGGGGUGGGGAAGGAACUUGUGGCUAACAUACUGAGAAUCAAAAGAAGUGGGUUGGUGUUGAUGACAUUGGAAUGAAAUAUCUGGAGAGCAGAGAGAGACCCCAGAGGGAAGGAAGUAAAAGACAGGAAGGGAGAUCUAUGGUUGUGUAACUUGGGUGUGAGUGUUAGAAGCUGGGACUUCAGAUGAGGUAGGAAGAAGACAGUUCAGAAUGUGGAAUGCAGGCGAUAGCAGCACUAUCUACUUUUAAGAUGCUACAAGUCUUUAUCUUUGCUCUAACUUCCAGGGGUGGUUUCAGAGAGGUUCCUGCACUGCAGGGUUUUUGAACUGGAGGGUCCCUUCCAGCUCCACUAUUUUAUUAAUGUGACUGCCCUUCUGGAAGAGCUUGCCAUCCACUAGCACCCGCAGAUUGUGUUCACGCAGAACGCUUCCCCUUCCCAGGAGCCGUACUUGUCGUCACCAGUGCAGGUUAGGAGCCUUGCUUGACACACAAAUCUUCACUGGGGAAAAAAUGGAGACGAACACUCCUCCCCUCCACAUGUCCUUCUUUAGUCUGUAGGGUGAUGUCCUACAAAUGUGGUUGUCCUCUAUCUCCCACCAUGGAGAGGGCACCACAUUAAUUUCCCCUCCAAUGCAGCAGUGUGCUUAAGGUAAAGGUAAAGGGACCCCUGACCGUUAGGUCCAGUCGUGACCGACUCUGGGGUUGCGGCGCUCAUCUCGCUUUACUGGCCGAGGGAGCCGGCGUCCAGCUUCCGGGUCAUGUGGCCAACAUGACUAAGCCGCUUCUGGCGAACCAGAGCAGCGCACGGAAACGCCGUGUGCUUAAAGGAUGUUAUUAAUUGCAAACCACCUUGAAUAUAUUAUUCGGGGUAAGACACAAUGGAUGGGGCCUGUAACAAGAAGCAGGUCUGAGUGGCUUGGAUGUGGUGGCAGGGGGCAGGAGGAGGACUUGGGGUAGGAAGGGGGAAACUGAAGUCCCAGGUGGAUGCAGUGUUUGUGGAGCCUUAAACACAGGAGCUGCUUUAGUUGGGGAGGUUGGGAUACAGGCAGGAAGCUUGCUUUCCUUUUAGCAGAGCGGAAAUAGCUAUAUCUGUGGUGCAGAAGGGGGUGGCAGCAUCUUGGAGGGAGCCUAGGGAACAGGUGGCCGUCAGUGAGUCUUUGUGAUGAUGUCAGGGCACUGAGUUGGUCGUAGACUUCCUUUCAGCCAGGCACCUCCCCUGCAUGCUGCCGCCCGCUAGGUGGCGCGGCUGCACCGCUUCGCCUCCAUGCUGUGCUCGCGGCCAUCCCAUCCAGAUUGGGAUUUGAGCCAGCGAAACCAGCGCUGGAAAUGGCUGCAAGGCCUUGGGCCGGCCUCAGCCCAAAGCAGGGGGCCGGGCUUCCUCCUUGCGAGAGUGACACAAGCACCUCCUUUCCUCUCCCAGGCUGCCUUCAUCUAGGCCGCUGGUAACUCCCCAGCUGGCACUGGGUCUGGGUGCCAGCUGUUUGGUAACGCGAGGCCGGCGGGGGCGUGUGGAGGCAUUCACAAACAGGGAGGAGGCUAAGCAAGCAAGUAGAUUCACAGGGCGGGGCCAGAGCUCUGGGGCUGCAGAGGACUUGCUGAAAGUCAGAAAAGAGGUUGUUAGGAAUGGGGAAUGUCCAUGUAAAUAAAUGUUAAUGGUUUUCAGAAAAACCCUGUUUGGCGUAACGUGUGCAUGUUAUGUAGGGAUAGUGGGGGGUUGUACAUGCUGUAAAAAAAAUGAAAUUGGCUGUUCAGCUCCGGAGGGUGAAUUCCAGUUCGCUGGACUAGCAAGGUUCUUCCCCCCUAACUCCCACUCCACCUAGAAAAAGCAAUGGCAUCAAAAGUAAGCUCUGUGAAGGGGGCAAUCCCAAUGGCCUGUUACGUGCUCUUUAAAUUAAAGAUAGCUCUCCCCAUUCCUGACUUACAGGUGAUUCCGCAAAGGCUGAAUGCUGUUUUCUUCCCUUGAGCAAACUCCCCCCCCCCCCCCGCUUCUCCAUGCAAACUCUUCCCUUCUCCUGAGGAGCCGAAUCUGAUUUGGGCUCAUAAAUACGAACGCCAUCUGGUUGUCACCGAAGUCUGAUGCCUUAAAGUGCCUCUGAUUACAUUUGCAUUUUAAUGAGCUGAUUGGAGCACGAGAGCCUUCUUCUGGGGCCCCCGCGGUGGCAAAGCCCACUUUGCAGUUGCCCCGCCCGUGUCGGAGUCUGUUUUUAUAAUCAAAUAUUGCGAAUAAAUUGCCUUUAAAAAGGAAAAAAACAACAACCUGA